RNAcentral lists this ribosomal RNA (480 nucleotides) under uncultured bacterium. RNAcentral's name for it is "partial 16S ribosomal RNA". It matches the Rfam family "Bacterial small subunit ribosomal RNA", at positions 28 to 507 of the family's 1533-position model. The record is from RNAcentral.
GAUGAACGCUAGCGGCAGGCCUAACACAUGCAAGUCGAGGGAGAGGUUACCUUCGGGUAACCAAAACCGGCGCACGGGUGCGUAACGCGUAUACAAUCUGCCUUUCACAUAGGGAUAGCCCGAAGAAAUUUGGAUUAAUACCUAAUGGUAUAUAAGAGCGGCAUCGUUUUUAUAUUAAAGCUACGGUGGUGAAAGAUGAGUAUGCGUUCUAUUAGCUAGUUGGAGAGGUAACGGCUCCCCAAGGCGACGAUAGAUAGGGGUUCUGAGAGGGAUGUCCCCCACACUGGUACUGAGAUACGGACCAGACUCCUACGGGAGGCAGCAGUGAGGAAUAUUGAACAAUGGUCGGAAGACUGAUCCAGCCAUGCCGCGUGCAGGAUGAAGGUCCUAUGGAUUGUAAACUGCUUUUGUAGGGGAAGAAUAAGGAGUACGUGUACUUUGAUGACGGUACCUUACGAAUAAGCAGCGGCUAACUCCGUG